Molecule: long non-coding RNA, 372 nt
Organism: Lactuca sativa (garden lettuce)
Lineage: Eukaryota; Viridiplantae; Streptophyta; Magnoliopsida; Asterales; Asteraceae
Source: RefSeq, a predicted model, not a curated record
UUCCUUUCUCACACAGUAGGUUCAAGAGAAAAUGGGUAAUUAUAGGAGACCAUAGACCCACGAGAUGGAUCAUUUAUGGGUUAAUGAAACAGUCAACAAUAUCUUGGUCCCAAUGCUUUCUCUGAUUUCACUUUACAUGAGAUUUUCCGACAUUCACCACCAACAAAUUUAGUGGAGCAAGAAGAUGAUGGUGGUAACAAGCUUAAAGUAUAUGUUGCACAUGUGGAAACAAGAAAAGCUAAACCUCUAUUUUCCUCAACAUAUGUGUUCCUCAAUGCAUUUUUUGACAAGUAUGGCCCAUGCUUGUGAUUUUUUACUAUACAUAUACCUUUAUGUUUUGACAUUAAAUAUGAAGAUGCGUGCACUUUUUAA